Oryza brachyantha (malo sina) is the source of this 2134-nucleotide RNA transcript. It is a transcript of the gene named protein S-acyltransferase 11, with no coding region annotated. The transcript is spliced from 6 exons. Lineage: Eukaryota; Viridiplantae; Streptophyta; Magnoliopsida; Poales; Poaceae. The record is from RefSeq and is a predicted model, not a curated record.
CCGAAAUAUUUUCUCCGCCUUCGUCUCUACUCCAGAGUCGUGCGGAUUUCCCAACCACCGCCUCGCCCCUCUUAGGCCUCGGCUCCUCCGAUCCGAGGCGUCCCCGUCUCCUCCGGUGGAUCCGCGUCGCCGCGAUGGAGCAGCAGCAGCCGCUGCUCGAGGUAGAGCAAUGUGUAACAUCCAUACCAGAAGAUCAUGAGGCUACUUGCUGGGGAUGUGGACUCCGUCUUAUUUUUGCAAGUUAUGCACCUGUUUUUAAGUGUGGCUGGUGUGGAGCAAUCACACAAAGUAACCAAACCUCAAGAAAACCUGACAGUAUAUGCUUCUCUCACUGGAGGAAUUUCCGGGAUAGGUUCUUUGUGACUGUGCUUAUCCUCUUCAUGCUCUUCGUCAUAUGUGGUGGGGUUUGGGCGGUAUAUCCAGUCAUUUUCUCGAUCAGCACUUUUUGUGGCAUCUUUCAUUGCAUAUUAACAGCUCUGCUAGCUGUAUUUACCAUCAUAAGUUAUGGCUUGGCCUCUUUUAAAUCUGCUGGUGCACCUGCGGACAUGCGAUGGGGAAGCUAUCCCAUGGUUGGGAAAAAUGAUCUGGAGAAUUAUACCUUCUGUACAUACUGUAGUAAACCAAAGCCCCCAAGAGCACAUCACUGCCGAUCUUGCAAAAUGUGCAUAGUAGACAUGGAUCAUCAUUGCCCAUUUAUCGGGAACUGCGUGGGAACUUCAAAUCACCGAUCUUUUGUAAUUUUUCUUAUUUCUGUGGUCAUUAGUUGUAGUUAUGCUGCUGGUAUGACCAUCUAUGCAAGUUAUCGUAUAUGGCCCCCACUAGAUUUUGAAGGUCUAGCAUCAACUCGUCGUUCAAUGGGUUAUAUGAAGAUGCUAAUAGAGAUUAUUGGUACCUUGACAAGCUCUGCAUUCUUCUUGUCAGCAAGGGGUCUAAUUACGGUAUAUCUUGCAUUUGCUAGUCUAUCAGUUAAUGCUGGUAUAGGUGUGCUGCUGUUCCAGCAACUUAGUUAUAUAUAUGAAGGAAAUACAUACCUUAACCGUUUAAAUUCGCCGAACGUCAUACAUGGUGAGAGAGGCGUGCAAAACCUUAUUCGAUUUUUUGGGUGCCCCUACUCAGUUUCCAGAGUAUUAGCAGGCUACUCGAACGCUGGCAAGUUACAGGACAAUUCGAGCUCAAAACUUCUUUAGAGGGAACGAAUAACCAUGCAAGAUGCAUCAUUAUGACCAAGCCGGAGGAUUUUUCAGAGGCAAGGAAAAUUCAGUUAAGGACCACAGUUUUAUGCAAACAAUUACAUAAUGAUCUAGUGAUAGAAUGUUUAGAUUAUCAUUUGAAGAGGCAUUUAUGGGAAUUGCAGUCAUAAUGGUUUUGCUGCUAACGUUAAAACAGUGGAAACUAUUAUCGUUUGAAGUCACUAGCCAAUUAGUUUGCAUAACUGAAGGUACAGGCGAACAUAGACUUACACAAUAGUUCACAAUCUGGAGGAGGAAUUUGUUUUGAAGGAAAACAAAAUUACUGUCGGCGUUAGUCUUGAGGUGGAACUUUUCACUCUCAUUGAUUUAGUGAGGCAAUUUCAGCAGAUGCUAAAAUACAAUGUGGUCCAAUGUAUUCAUUACCUACAGAGUACGGACAAUCAUGAGUUACUGAUGGUUGGGGCAAUAAAUUUCUCUAUCUGUAAUUGUGAGCAUCAUCAGUACUUGUUCUGUGUAAAAGAUCCAGCUUGAUGCUUCGGUGUUGCAGGAGAAAUUAACGUGAAGAUGAGAUCUGGCAAAGAUUUUGGAUGGGGCUAGAAGGUGUUAAAAUAUUUGGACCACAUCUGUUUGUUGUUGACACAUUAACAUGUAUAUAGGAAAAGAAACCCCACGGCUGCCUUUGUACUAUUUAUUAUACACUAAACUCAUCUUAAAUUGGCCGGUAAUCUUAUAAACGUGGCAUAUACUGUUCCAUGGCCUCUUGCCAUUUUUGGCCUGAUUUAUGUAAAUCAUUCAUUGAUCUCUUGGCAUGGCAAAUUGUAACGGGGUGCAGCUCACAUGUUUAGUGUUGCUGCCCUUGUAACCAUUUGACCUCAGUUUUGUUCCUUAUGGCCUUUCAUGAAAUCAUCAAAGUUUGGAAUUAUGGGAGCUCCCUGCGUCAGUUU